GACGAACGCUGGCGGCGUGCUUAACACAUGCAAGUCGAACGGAAAGGCCCUGCUUUUGUGGGGUGCUCGAGUGGCGAACGGGUGAGUAACACGUGAGUAACCUGCCCUUGACUUUGGGAUAACUUCAGGAAACUGGGGCUAAUACCGGAUAGGAGCUCCUGCUGCAUGGUGGGGGUUGGAAAGUUUCGGCGGUUGGGGAUGGACUCGCGGCUUAUCAGCUUGUUGGUGGGGUAGUGGCUUACCAAGGCUUUGACGGGUAGCCGGCCUGAGAGGGUGACCGGCCACAUUGGGACUGAGGUACGGGCCAGACUCCUACGGGAGGCAGCAGUGGGGAAUAUUGCACAAUGGGCGGAAGCCUUAUGCAGCAACGCCGCGUGCGGGAUGACGGCCUUCGGGUUGUAAACCGCUUUCGCCUGUGACGAAGCGUGAGUGACGGUAAUGGGUAAAGAAGCACCGGCUAACUACGUG
RNAcentral lists this ribosomal RNA (468 nucleotides) under uncultured bacterium. Its description in RNAcentral is "partial 16S ribosomal RNA". It matches the Rfam family "Bacterial small subunit ribosomal RNA", at positions 28 to 507 of the family's 1533-position model. The record is from RNAcentral.